GCGACGACGGGUAGCCGGCCUGAGAGGGCGACCGGCCACACUGGGACUGAGACACGGCCCAGACUCCUACGGGAGGCAGCAGUGGGGAAUAUUGCACAAUGGGCGGAAGCCUGAUGCAGCGACGCCGCGUGAGGGAUGACGGCCUUCGGGUUGUAAACCUCUUUCAGCAGGGACGAAGCGCAAGUGACGGUACCUGCAGAAGAAGCGCCGGCCAACUACGUGCCAGCAGCCGCGGUAAGACGUAGGGCGCGAGCGUUGUCCGGAUUUAUUGGGCGUAAAGAGCUCGUAGGCGGCUUGUCGCGUCGAAUGUGAAAACCCGAGGCUCAACCUCGGGCUUGCAUUCGAUACGGGCAGGCUAGAGUUCGGUAGGGGAGACUGGAAUUCCUGGUGUAGCGGUGAAAUGCGCAGAUAUCAGGAGGAACACCGGUGGCGAAGGCGGGUCUCUGGGCCGAUACUGACGCUGAGGAGCGAAAGCGUGGGGAGCGAACAGGAUUAGAUACCCUGGUAGUCCACGCUGUAAACGUUGGGCGCUAGGUGUGGGGACCCUCUCCGGGUUUCUGCGCCGCAGCUAACGCAUUAAGCGCCCCGCCUGGGG
This 595-nucleotide ribosomal RNA is filed under the name Actinoplanes sp. MS-7. RNAcentral describes it as "bacterial SSU rRNA". It matches the Rfam family "Bacterial small subunit ribosomal RNA", at positions 273 to 878 of the family's 1533-position model. The record is from RNAcentral. Lineage: Bacteria; Bacillati; Actinomycetota; Actinomycetes; Micromonosporales; Micromonosporaceae.